UAGCAAGUCGACCAAAGGCGAAAGCAGUCAUCAAGGGCACGCCCGUUGAUCAAGAGCGAAAGUUAAGGGUUCGAAGACGAUCAGAUACCGUCGUAGUCUUAACUAUAAAUGAUACAAACCAGGGAUAGGACACUGUCCAUCUCGACUCCUCCUGCACCUUAGAGAAAUCAGAGUCUUUGGGUUCUGGGGGGAGUAUGGUCGCAAGGCUGAAACUUAAAGGAAUUGACGGAAGGGCACACAAAGAGUGGAACCUGCGGCUUAAUUUGACUCAACACGGGAAAACUCACCAGGUCCGGAUACACGUAUGAAAGUCAAGCUGAAAGACUUUACUCAAUGAUGUAAGUGGUGGUGCAUGGUCGUUCGUAGUUCGUGGAUUGAUUUGUCUGGUCUAUUCCGAUAACGAGCGAGACCCCAACGUUCCUAAUAGGGGCUUCAGCCCGGCCGGUCGCAAGACUGGUUAGCUGUCGCUUAGGUUUGCUUCUUAGACGUAUCAGAGCCGAUAAGGUUCUUGAAAUGGGUUAAUAACAGGUCAGUCAUGCCCUUAGAUGUUCUGGGCCGCACGCGCGUUACAAUGGCAUGAAAAGAAAGUGCUUCAAAAGGCGUUUCCGGGGCCGAAAGGUCCUGGUAACCCUUAAUCCCUGCCUUGACUGGGAUAGAUCUUUGCAAUUAUUGGUCUCUAACGAGGAAUUUUUAGUAAUCGUAGGUCAUUAACCUGCGAUGAAUGCGUCCCUGCCCUUUGUACACACCGCC
Molecule: ribosomal RNA, 750 nt
Filed under: Leocarpus fragilis
Lineage: Eukaryota; Evosea; Eumycetozoa; Physariida; Physaraceae
Description: SSU rRNA
Rfam family: Eukaryotic small subunit ribosomal RNA
Source: RNAcentral